Molecule: long non-coding RNA, 7516 nt
Filed under: Phoenix dactylifera (date palm)
Lineage: Eukaryota; Viridiplantae; Streptophyta; Magnoliopsida; Arecales; Arecaceae
Description: long non-coding RNA (PDAC_LNC006598)
Source: RNAcentral
UUCCUCUCUCAGCAUAACAAAUGGUGAGGCCUGCACAGAGGAGAAAGAUAGAAAAUGCUUGUUCCUGCCCUAAGUAGUACCUUAGGGAGCUCUGGACUGGAGGAAGGAAAACGCUAGAGACCACAGGACCUCUGCAGAAAGUGCCACCGUACUCAGGGUAAAAAGAGGCCGGGUGUCAUUAAAGGAGGCUUAAUGCCUGAACAACCUUGUACAAAGUUAAAUAAAGUGAAGCAUAACUCUUUCACGUUGUGUGCAAGGAAUCUGCCUGACCACAUAAAUGCUUCCGAUUGGUCAUACUUCCAUGUUUCUUUUGCUUUUCCCCAGUGCUAGCCGACCCGCUCUGUGUUACUUGUCCCACCUUUUUGAUUCCUCAUUGCGCAGAGCUAUCAUUGCCAGGUUGAAAUUUCAGGGCUUUUAGCAUGGAAGAAAAUUCGGGCAACAGUUUCUCAUAAAAGUUGCUAAAAUAUAUUUUACAUGCUUUGUAAUCUGCUGCCAUUUAAAAUAUGUAUUUAUAAUCUUUCUUUAGACAAUUAUAUCGUUUAAACUUAAUUUAGAGCAACACAGGUGCCACAGGUGAAUAAUACCAAAUGACUUUCCAUCAUAUUGAGACUCAUCUCUGAAUUGCGCAGAUGCUCUGUAAAAGGUAACAAACAAUUGUAAAAAAUUUUCAAUUUUUCAGGAGGUAUUUUACUUCUGUAGAUGGAUUCCCUUGUCAUUUGUCUGAAAAGCUUGCAUCUAAGUCAUCUAUAAACCUUAUGGGUUUCCACGUAGGAUGCAGCCGACACAAGGUAGUUUCGGUUGGUCUACUUGAUCAUCAGCUAAAUUAUUAACAGUUCACCCCGAAUUUUAGUAGAAUAAAUUAUGCAAAGCAAAAUCCUCCCGAACAUAUCAUCCUUGCUCAUACUCACUUCAACUGAUACACAAAACACACUUCAACAAUAGUCAAAAUAGAAAUUACAAUGUUCCUGUAAUACCCCAAAAAAAAAAAAAAAAAANNNNNNNNNNNNNNNNNNNNGGGGUGACGUCGCGUGCGGCGGUGGCCGGCUUCGGCUGCGAACGGCGCUGACACGGGCGUCGGCCGCGGGCCAGCCGAGGAUGCCGCCGGCACGGGCGUCGGCUGCAGGCCGGCCGAGGGCACCGCCGGCUGUGGCCGACCUCUCCCGAACUCACUGCCUCCCUUCGCAGGAGAAGAAAGGGGGAAGGAAAAGAGGGAUCGGGAGAGAAGGAAGGAAAGAGAGGAGGAGAGGAAGCUCUGGGCGUGACAGUUCCCCUCCGAGAACAUACGAAGAAACAGUUUAGUUUUAGAUUGUCUAUCACACCUGUAGUUUAAUAAAAGGUAAAAAGAAGACCACAACAAUAUGGAGAUGAGAGAUUGAUUCGGAUAUGACAGGCGGCUAGAAGCCUAAAAGCUUCAUCAUGAGCUAUCUUCUAUUCCCUCUCCCUCUCUCACUUUCACCUAGCCUCCUUUUGCUCUGAUUCUUCAUCUGACCUAUUAUCAUCAGUAUGGAUUUUUUCAAGACACAAUAACUUCGUCUCCAAAGCAUCCCGAACCUAACAAUAUCUCACAUUAAUAUGCUUGAAUCUUGAAUAAAAUAUUAGAUUCUUUGAGAGAUGGAUGACACUUUGACUAUCAUAAUAAAGUAUACAUUUCUCUUGUUCUUGGCUCCACUCUUGUAGAAAAUUUUUCAUCCAAAAAAGUUUUUUUACAGGCUUCUGUAAUUGCAAUAUGCUCGGCCUCCGUAGUGGACAAAACAACACAUUUUUGUAAUUUAGAUUGCUAUGACACUACUCCCUCUGAAAAGUCAUCAAAUAUCCUGAUUGAACUUUCUAAAAUCUAGAUCACCAGCCAUAUUUGCAUCUGUGUACCCAUCCAACAUAGAUUUACUAUUAUGAAAACAUAAACAAACUCUAAAAUGCCUAUGAGAUACUUAGAAAUUCAUUUGACAACAGUCUAAUGCUCCUUAAAAUGGUUAGAAAGAAACCGACUUACAACAUCAACUGCAUAAGCACUAUUCGGUCUUAUGCAAACCAUGGUGUACAUCAAACUGUCAACUGCAGAUGCAUAAGGAAUCUUUUCAUUUCUUCUUUAUCAUUCUGACUUGUAGGACACUGCUUGAAAUUUAACUUGAAGUGACCUAUAAGUGGAGAGCAAACUGGUUUGGACUUACUCAUAUUGAACCUUUCUAAUACUUUUUUGAUAUAUCUCUCUUGGGAUAACCAAAUCUUUCUAUUCUUCCUAUUAUGAGUAAUUCUCAUGCCAAGAAUUUGUUUAACCGGUCCCAAGUACUUCAAAGCAAAGAACUUGUUCAACUCUCUUUUCAAGCUUUCAAUCUUCUUAGCAUCAUGAUCAACGAUCAACAUAUCAUCCAUAUAAAACAAGAGAAUAAUAAAAUCUUCAUCAGAGAAUCUAUUAAUAAAUACACAAUGAUGAGAAGCAGUUUUACUAUACCCAUAGUCCAUUAUAAAUGAAUUAAAUUUUUUACAUCAUUGUCGAGGUGCCUGCUUGAGCCCAUACAAACUCUUCUUUAAUCUACAUACGAGAUGCUCUUUGCCUUUAACUAUGAACCCUUCUGGCUUCUCGAUAUAAAUUUUCUUCUUUCAGUCACCAUGAAGAAAGGUAGUUUUCACAUCAAGUUGUUCAAUCUCUAAAUUUAUUCUUGUAGAUAAAUCGAAAAUAAGUCGGUUGAAGACAUUUUGACUACAGAUGAGAAAAUUUCUUAAAACUCAAUAUCAAUUUUCUGAUCAAAACCUUUCACAACCAACGGUGCCUUGUACCUUGGCUGUGAGCUCUUCUCUUGAGUCUUGAACUUGAACACCCACUUAUUCUUGAGUGCCCUCUUACCUCUAGGUAGUUCCAUCAACUCAAAUGUGCAGUUCUCAUGGAAGAAUUUUAUCUCCUCGUGCAUAGCUUUUAACCACUCUCUCUUUUGUUCAUGAUUUAUGGCCUCUUGGUAGCAUUCUGGUACUCCCCCAUCAAUGAUUAUCAUAUACUCAUGUGGAGAAUAUCUUUAGGAAGGUCAGUGCUCUCUAGUAGAUCUUCUUAACUGAGGCUUAAUUGGUAGUUCUGGAGGGACUUGCUCAACAUGAUCAUCCGACACAUCAUUGCCAAGUGUUGGCUUAUCAACUGCGUUACCAUCAUCUUUCUAUACAUCUUCCCUAUUAAUAUCAUUCAUCAUGGUUGCAGGUAUUGGACCUAGAUCAACAUAAUUUCUACUGACAGACUUUGGCUUCUCAAUAUUUUCAAAAUCUUCAAUAGUUUGGUUUUCUAGAAACACAACAUCUCUGCUUCUGAUAACUUUCUUAUCAACUAGAUCCCAUAGUCUGCAACCAAACUCUUCAUGUGCAUAACCUAAGAAGAUAUACUGUUUAGACUUGCGAUCAAACUUGGAUCACUCAUUUUUAGGAAUGUGAAUAAAUGCCCUAUAGCUAAAUACUCUUAAGUGAUCAUAUGACACAUUUUUUCCAAUCUACACUCUUUUUGGUACAUCACCUUUAAGGAAAACUGAAGGAGAAAGUUUGAUUAAAUCCACUGCAGUUCUCCUUGCUUCACCCGAAAAGAAUUUAGAAAAUUUGGCAUGAGAGAACAUACUCCGAAUUCUUUCACAAAUAGUACGGUUCAUUCUGUCAGCAACUCAAUUAUGUUGAGGUAUUUUAGGAAUGAUUUUUUCAAACCUGAUGCUAUGAUCUCGAUAAUAUUUCUCAAAUGGACCUUUGUAUUCACCACCAUUAUCUGCUCAAAUAUACUUCAGUUGUCUUUCCAUUUCUCUUUCAACACUAGCAUGAAAAUGCUUGAAUACAGUAAGCACCUGGUCUUUAAAUUUUAAAACAAAUGUCCAUACUUUUUUGGAAUGAUCAUCAAUAAAAGUAACAAAAUAUAAAAUACCACCAAGAGUUAUAGCAUCCAUAGUACAAAUAUCAGUGUGAAUUAAAUCCAAAACAUGUAAUAUUCUAUAUGGAGGGGUUUUAUGAAAUUCAACUCUAUGCUAUUUGCCAGCUAAACAAUGAGUACAAGUCUUUAGGGGCGUACCUUUUAUAGAAAGAAAUUUCUUUUUGGUCAGAAUAUUAAGUCCCUUCUACUCAUGUGUCCAAGCUGCUUAUGCCAUAAUUCAAUAGAGGAGUCUCCAACUGCAUUCACCUCCUCAUUGCACAAAUUUGCUUACAUAAUAUAAAGUGUGCCUGGUUUCUUUUCUCUUGCUACCAUUAGAGAACCUUUGGUAAGCUUCCAUUUUUCUUCAUCGAAGUGGUUGUCGUAAUCUUCAUCAUCAAGUAAUUUAAUAGAGAUUAAGUGGAGGCGGAUAUCUAGAACAUUUCUCACAUUUUUCAGUAAUAGAUGACACCCAAUAACGAUUUCCAAGCAAACGUCUUCUAUGCCUACAAUCUUAGUAACUCCAUCAUUUUCCAUUCUAACACUGCAAAAAUCAUCACUAGUGUUGGAUGUGAAGCUGUCCCGUCGAGAAGUAACAUGAAAAGAGGCACCUGAGUUAACAACCCAAGUACAAUCCUUGUAAGGUUUAUACAAGCAUCAUCACAAAUAAUAUCGACAUCACCAUCAGACGCAACUAUUGUUGUAUCAUUUUCUUCCUUUUUUUCAUCUCUUCUUCUUGAUUGCUCUCUUUUAAAUUUUCUACACUUUCUUUUCAUGUGCCUGGGUUUGCCAUAAUAAAAAUAUUUUAUCUCUUUUCUGAAUUUGCACCUUCUCUUUGACUUAUCAUGAUUAUUAGAAUUUUGCAAGAUUCUAGUUUUACUCCUCCCCAGCCUUUCUGUAACCAAUACCUCUGACUAUGUAGUCACACCAUGUUUUCUUCUUCUGGUCUCCUCAUUAAGCAUACUAUCUUUUACCAUUCCCAAUGUUACCACACCAUUAAGAGCAAAAUUCUUAAGUGAUACAACCAGAGUUUUCCAACUAUCAGACAAGAAGCUAAGCAACAAUAAUGCUUGCAACUCAUCAUCUAACAUCAUUUUCAUAGUAUUUAGUUGAUUUACCAUAUUCUAAAAUCUACUUAAAUGCUUGACCACUGAAUUUUUCUCCUUAUAUUGCAUAUUCAAAAGCUUUGUGAUCAUGAAUGUUUUUUCUAUGCAGUCUUCCGCUCAUAAAGACUUUAUAGUUUCUUCCAUUAACUAUGAGCAUUAGUCUCCAUAGCAAUAUGAUGAAAAACAAUAUCAUCUAUCCAUUGCUUGAUUAAUCCAACCGUUUUUCUAUUCAUUUUCUUCCACUACUGUCGAGUUUUGUCACUUGGUUUGGUACUAUCUCCUUCCAUAGGAUCAUACAAAUCUUUGCAAAAUAGUAAAUCUUCCAUUUCGAGCUUCCAAAUUGAAUAAUUGGAAGAUGUGAUUUAAAUAUACAGCCACUUGAAUGCUCUUCCAUUUAAUCAACAAAAAAAAAUUCAGUCAUUAGCAACCUGCUUUGAUACCACUUAUUGAAAAAUCAAGAUAUAAUUAUGUCGUAAACUUUUUUGUCUUUGUGUAAUUAAAUGGGAUAUCACUCACUAAGCAACAAUCUUCUCUACAAUCUACUUAGACAAUUAACUAAAAAAAUAAUCAAGCAAUCUAGAAAUAAGAGACAACACAAUUUUUAACAUGGAAAACCCUUCUAUAUAAGGAAAAAAAAAUUAUGACACCUAAUUCAGGCGAAAACUUUUACUAUUUAGAAUAAUAAGAUUACAAUAGAUUCUUUCUAGUUCAACUAGAGGCUGCACAAACAUCAAUAAGAUUUAAUUUUGGCUUUCAUAACAAAAAUAUUCAUCACCAAUAAGAUGGAUUUCAACAACAAAUAAUAAAAUAGAGAAUAAAUCCCACUAAGUAUUGAUGCUUAAAAUAAUCAAUAGAGAAGGCUUUUCAAUGAUCCAAACCAUUCAAUCUGUAGCUCUCAAUGCUGAAAACAAUAUACUGAAAUUUCAGUCAAAUAUGGAUAUAAUCAACCAUCCAAUCAUCUGACAAAGCAUUACCUUUUUAUUUUGUACCAAAUCAUAGGAGUUUGCUAUUGUAUUAUACGAUAUCUGAUCCCUAGUAUCUUUUUCAUAAUCAUAAAAUUUUAUUAUUGUAUUCUACUAUAUCUGGAGGCUCAACUUAUAUAUAGAGCCCAGUGCCAUAAACAAAACAAGCAAUUCAAAUCUUAUUUUAAAUAUAAAUUUUUAAUGAUAUCAGGGCGGAUUUUUUCUUGAUCAGUCAACCCUUCGUUCUUGUUCUCCUAUGAUCCUCUUGGUGUUUGUUUUCAUUGGCCCUCUAUUCUCUAUUUGAUAAUCUUGGCCUCUUUUACUAUUAUUCCAAUCCUAGUGCUGAUAUUAGAAGGAGAAGGAUAGAAAAUUUACACUCCACACAAAGUGAACAAAAUGAGAUGGAGAAGGAACCUAACUCGGUAGUAUUAUGAUGUAUAUAAUCAUAGGAUUCUGUAAAGUUUUUGCUUGUACCACAAAUGCAUUGAAGGAGCAUUCCUGCAUCAUCAACAAAAGCCUAGUACCAGCUUCGUAGACAAGAGUGUUAGAGGUUUGCAUGUCAGAUGUAACAAGUAAUGUUACAGCCUCAGUUCGUACUGGAGGUAAAGGUGAACAUAAGAUGGCACUUCUCUAAACUUUGCUUUUCUGCACAUUAUUAUUCAUUAGCAUAUUCUCUUAUUCACUUAAAAAGAGAAUAAAACAACAAUCCCAGGACGACGACACAAACAACCGAUCAAAUGCUAUAUGCAUUAAAAAGGAAAAAGAUCUUUUCUUUUCUUUUUUUGGAUGAUUGCACAUAAAUCUUUCUAAUCAACGGUAAAAAGAGACCCAACCUACAACAUCAAGCAUCUAAAUAAAUAUUUUGCCCAAAAAUAAAAAUAAAUAAAUAUCUCAAAAUAAUAAUCAAGCAGUGAUUUUUCCCUUUAAUACGCUACCGAAAACUUCCUUAGAGAAAGGGUGAAAAUUAAAGAGAAAAGGGGACCUGGUAAUGGAGGUGGGGUCGUUCUUGGUGGUGCUUGAAUUCAUCGAAUCGCUCGAAGUACUUGUCCAUCGUGUGGAGGAACCAAUCUUUGUCCUCAUCGGAGUGUCAAGUGCCCUCACCAAGAGCGCCUCUGUGUUCGCCAGUCUUCUACUCACCGCGAUGCAGAGAUACUUCAGCUCCUCCUCCGCCGCCGUCGCCGCCGGAUUGGAGCCUUCUUCAGUCUUCUUUCUCGCUCUUACCGAAGUUUUGCUAAAAUUAUCGAAUACAAGACAAUUAAAAUAUGUAUGAAAUGCACUAGCUUAUAAUUUGUGCAUGCGGCAGAUUUUGGUUGGGCAAAAACUUCAACAAUUCUUUCCAUGUAAUUACUCCAACUAGUUUUAGGAUGAGAAAUUUUUAAUUUUUAAUUUUCAGUAUUCAUCUAACUCCAUAAGCUCCACAUCUUGAUACAAUGAUAUACAUAAAAAUGGAUAAUUUGAAUAUAUAAUAGAGAAAUCAAUUAUAUAUAACCCUAACAAUAGAUUUAUGACAAUCCACGAGUCCUAAUUAAUAUAAGGGACUCAAAUAUGUUAUAAUACCCUUGGCACUCUGCCCUUUCUGCAUC